GAUGAACGCUGGCGGCGUGCCUAAUACAUGCAAGUCGAGCGAACAGAUGAGGAGCUUGCUCCUCUGACGUUAGCGGCGGACGGGUGAGUAACACGUGGAUAACCUACCUAUAAGACUGGGAUAAAUUCGGGAAACCGGAUCUAAUACCGGAUAAUAUAUUGAACCGCAUGGUUCAAUAGUGAAAGACGGUUUUGCUUUCACUUAUAGAUGGAUCCGCGCCGCAUUAGCUAGUUGGUAAGGUAACGGCUUACCAAGGCAACGAUGCGUAGCCGACCUGAGAGGGUGAUCGGCCACACUGGAACUGAGACACGGUCCAGACUCCUACGGGAGGCAGCAGUAGGGAAUCUUCCGCAAUGGGCGAAAGCCUGACGGAGCAACGCCGCGUGAGUGAUGAAGGUCUUCGGAUCGUAAAACUCUGUUAUUAGGGAAGAACAAAUGUGUAAGUAACUAUGCACGUCUUGAAGGUACCUAAUCAGAAAGCCACGGCUAACUACGUG
This 497-nucleotide ribosomal RNA is filed under the name uncultured bacterium. RNAcentral describes it as "partial 16S ribosomal RNA". It matches the Rfam family "Bacterial small subunit ribosomal RNA", at positions 28 to 507 of the family's 1533-position model. The record is from RNAcentral.